GACGAACGCUGGCGGCGUGCCUAAUACAUGCAAGUAGAACGCUGAAGGUGGAGCUUGCUUCUCUGGAUGAGUUGCGAACGGGUGAGUAACGCGUAGGUAACCUGCCUGGUAGCGGGGGAUAACUAUUGGAAACGAUAGCUAAUACCGCAUAAUAGUAGAUGUUGCAUGACAUUUGCUUAAAAGGUGCAAUUGCAUCACUACCAGAUGGACCUGCGUUGUAUUAGCUAGUUGGUGGGGUAACGGCUCACCAAGGCGACGAUACAUAGCCGACCUGAGAGGGGGAUCGGCCACACUGGGACUGAGACACGGCCCAGACUCCUACGGGAGGCAGCAGUAGGGAAUCUUCGGCAAUGGACGGAAGUCUGACCGAGCAACGCCGCGGGAGUGAAGAAGGUUUUCGGAUCGUAAAGCUCUGUUGUAAGGGAAGAACGAGUGUGAGAGUGGAAAGUUCACACUGUGACGGUAUCUUACCAGAAAGGGACGGCUAACUACGUG
Molecule: ribosomal RNA, 495 nt
Filed under: uncultured bacterium
Lineage: Bacteria
Description: partial 16S ribosomal RNA
Rfam family: Bacterial small subunit ribosomal RNA
Source: RNAcentral